Molecule: unclassified non-coding RNA, 194 nt
Filed under: plant metagenome
Description: partial contains small subunit ribosomal RNA, internal transcribed spacer 1, and 5.8S ribosomal RNA
Source: RNAcentral
UUUCCGUAGGUGAACCUGCGGAAGGAUCAUUACAAAGUUCAUGCCCUAAAGGGUAGACCUCCCACCCUUGUGUAGUAUUACUUUGGUGCGUUGGCGAGCGAAAGCUCGUCAGAGAAUACAAAAACUCUUUUUAUUAAUGUCGUCUGAGUACUAUAUAAUAGUUAAAACUUUCAACAACGGAUCUCUUGGUUCUG